CGGCGCUCUGGUUUGAAUACGCCCCAACAAAGUCAUGUGCUGGAAGCCUCGUCACCAAGGCAAUGGUGUUGGAAGAACAUGGGGAUACAAAAGCCAUAUUGAACCUGUGAGGACAAAAGCCACACACUAUCAAUGACUGCGCGAUAACAGUAAGAGUCUGGAACUGCGGUGACCUCAUGAACUGAUGCUCUUUCUCUUGACAGACAGCACACAACAAUAGCCUUGGUUAAGAAGAGGAAGGAGGAAGAGCGGAGGACCGCGGAGGAGCACCGGGCGGAUGGAGAAAUGUAAUUGCUGUAAAAAAGAGUGCAUGAUUGGCGACACAGAAGUUUCCAGGACAGAAGCGAAGGGUGGGAUAUUGGGGAAAGAUGGGGCUUGCUUGCAUGAAGCCUAAUAUAAAGAGGUGCUGGUAUAAAUGGAA
Non-coding RNA from Macaca mulatta (Rhesus monkey), 421 nucleotides. The record is from RefSeq and is a predicted model, not a curated record. Lineage: Eukaryota; Metazoa; Chordata; Mammalia; Primates; Cercopithecidae.